CCAGUUCAAAUGAUCUUGUAGAUUGGUCUUCAUAUUCUUUAUACAGAGGAGUGUUAUAUGAAUUAUUGAUCAACUUUUCUAUUCUCCAACCCUCCUAGCAAUAACGUUGGCCAUAUUUCCUAUCUUGAGAAUUCACCUCAUUUGCAAACCUCUCCAAGGCAAGUUUGUUCACUCAUCGCUCAUUCAUUUUCCUUUUUGGUACAUUGUUGUAGGUUUUCAACCCUUAUACAUUGUUGUUGUUCUCAUGGAAGAAGCUGUGAUUAGUUCUUCUCCAGAUUUACAUUGCAGAUUCGUCUUUGGACCUUCAAACUUUGCCCGCAGAAAUUCAUUCUCUUCCAUUAGCGCCUCGAGGUUUUCUGCCAUUUGCUAGAGAGUUUUUGUCGUAGAUAUUUUUCUUCUGUAAGCGAUGGCAUUGGGUGGAAGAAAUGUCGAUGUUUCCUCAAUUUACCGCUUCGAGUUGAUGUCCCUGUUUACUUGGUCAUUGCUGUGCUCUUCUGCUUCAACUUCCAUCAUUUUAGCAUCUUUCGAAUUUACUUCCGUCUGUUUCAUUUUUUCAAAUUUCAAUGGUUUUUCAAGUUAGAAGGAUGAAUUCUAGAUUUUGUUUGCUCAAGUAUUCCUACAGAAGGCGCCAAUUUGUUGACGAUAUAAUUACGAUCACCAAGUUUCUCUCACCUUGCUAGGAUUUUCUUCUCCUAAACUCACUAGUUUUGACACUUAAAUCGGAGCAAAACGUGAAAUAAUUAUUUGGGACGGAGAUAUUUGAAUUUACAUGCCUUCUUUCUCUGAAGAAAGAGUAUUUGAAGAUUUCCUCAGGGCUUUGGAUCAUUCUAAAAAAUGAUAGGCGAUGGCUAUAUAGUGGUAGUUUGAUAGUUGAUAUUGUUAUAUAUUCAUGUGUUAUUCAAUG
Molecule: long non-coding RNA, 904 nt
Filed under: Olea europaea (common olive)
Lineage: Eukaryota; Viridiplantae; Streptophyta; Magnoliopsida; Lamiales; Oleaceae
Description: long non-coding RNA (OEUR_LNC002113)
Source: RNAcentral